This is a long non-coding RNA of Lagopus muta (rock ptarmigan), 624 nucleotides long. RefSeq lists it as uncharacterized. The transcript is spliced from 5 exons. Lineage: Eukaryota; Metazoa; Chordata; Aves; Galliformes; Phasianidae. The record is from RefSeq and is a predicted model, not a curated record.
CUCAUUUAAGGAUUGGCACUGGAGGUGAGGGUUUCUUGCUGGAGAUCUAUGCCUACCUUAGGCCUUCUGAAGGGACGCAUGAUGAGUCUGAAGAUGGUUAAGACCAAACUAAUACACGUACUUAUCUCUCUGGCACAGAAGGAGCUGAGGUUCAUUCUGUUCAUCUCUGGAGUGCAUCUUCCAGUUUGACUUCCUCUGUUUUUGUGGUAAAUGCGUGUCAUGCAGAAGGAAGAAACAUACAUGCAUAAGCUGGCUUCAUGAAAACUGGAGCAUGUUUCCAACUUUACCACAUGUGAAUAUGAGUUGUUGAUAUUUAUUACAGCCCAAAUGGAUAUUGUAAAUAUUUUGAUGCUGUUUAGAACUAUACCCAUCUACUGAAGUAAUUAAAUAACAUGCUUAACAGACUUGUUUGAAUAGCCGCUCAUGUAUUAGUACAGUAGAUGUUAAAACAUCAUUAUUUGAAAAUAUAUAUAUAUAUAUAUAAUAAAAUUGUAAUUUUAAAGAACUGAAUUAUCUGAAGAUUUAAACUCCCCCCAGGCAUUUUUCAUCAUGAAUUGUAAGACCUGACUUCUAGAGGAUGUAUUUUUCCAGGCUCUUAGCCAAUGCAAAGUAUUUUUUGGAAUA